Molecule: long non-coding RNA, 502 nt
Filed under: Homo sapiens (human)
Lineage: Eukaryota; Metazoa; Chordata; Mammalia; Primates; Hominidae
Description: non-protein coding lnc-MYBL1-2:2
Source: RNAcentral
GGCAGGGGUCGGGCGCCUGUGGCGGAGCCGGGCUGGGGCCAGGGCAGGGAGGCUGACAAGCGGCGGGAGAAGCCGGCGGAGGGCGGGAUCGCGCCUCCUGACAUGUUGGGGGUAUCCCUGGCCGGGCCGGGCCGGGGCUAAGAGCGGCGCUGCGGGCCGGGGUCGGGGUCGGGUCGCGGUCCGCCCCCGCUGUCCCUCCGUCCUGCCCUGUCGAGGACGUGCGUUCCGCACUCGGCCGCCUCCAGAGGGAGCGAGGGAAGCGGCUAGAGGAUCGGGGAGAAGGAGCAUUCGCCGGAGGCUGGAGGAGGCUGACCCGCGUCCCCGCCCAGCCUGCUCCUAUGCGGUACUUGAAGGAUGGCGAAGAGGUCGCGCAGGUGGGUGGCACCCCUUUCGCCCAGGCCUGUCGGCGCCGUCUCGGCUCAGAUUCUCUUUCCUAUCCCGCUGCCCCCUCCCGCCAUAAGGCCCUCCCUGGCGAGGGCAGAGGUUUUUCUUCCCGCGUCCC